Molecule: ribosomal RNA, 365 nt
Filed under: uncultured archaeon
Lineage: Archaea
Description: bacterial SSU rRNA
Rfam family: Archaeal small subunit ribosomal RNA
Source: RNAcentral
GGACCUGACUGCUAUCGGAUUGAUACUAAGCCAUGCGAGUCAUUGUAGCAAUACAAGGCAUACGGCUCAGUAACGCGUAGUCAACCUAACCUAUGGACGGGAAUAACCUCGGGAAACUGAGAAUAAUGCCCGAUAGAACAUUAUGCCUGGAAUGGUUUAUGUUCCAAAUGAUUUAUCGCCGUAGGAUGGGACUGCGGCCUAUCAGUUUGUUGGUGAGGUAAUGGCCCACCAAGACUAUUACAGGUACGGGCUCUGAGAGGAGUAGCCCGGAGAUGGGUACUGAGACACGGACCCAGGCCCUAUGGGGCGCAGCAGGCGAGAAAACUUUGCAAUGUGCGAAAGCACGACAAGGUUAAUCCGAGUGG